This 45-nucleotide non-coding RNA is filed under the name Schistosoma margrebowiei. The record is from RNAcentral. Lineage: Eukaryota; Metazoa; Platyhelminthes; Trematoda; Strigeidida; Schistosomatidae.
AUCCAGUUGACGAGUCUCAAGUAGGGUGAAGCGCGUGUCCUGGAU